GCGCAGCAGGCGCGAAAACUUUACAAUGUGCGAAAGCACGAUAAGGGAACUCUGAGUGCCUCCUAAGGAGGCUGUUCAGGUGUCUAAAAAGCACCUGGAGUAAGGGCUGGGUAAGACCGGUGCCAGCCGCCGCGGUAACACCGGCAGCCCAGGUGGUAGCCACUUUUAUUGGGUCUAAAGCGUCCGUAGCCGGUUGAGUAAGUUCCCUGGGAAAUUUGGCUGCUCAACAGUCAAGCUUCCAGGGAAUACUGCUCGACUUGGGGACUGGGAGAGGUCAGAGGUACUCCAGGGGUAGGGGUGAAAUCCAUUAAUCCCUGGGGGACCACCGGUAGCGAAGGCGUCUGACCAGACCAGGUCCGACGGUGAGGGACGAAGGCUAGGGUCGCGAACCGGAUUAGAUACCCGCGUAGU
This 411-nucleotide ribosomal RNA is filed under the name uncultured microorganism. Its description in RNAcentral is "bacterial SSU rRNA". It matches the Rfam family "Archaeal small subunit ribosomal RNA", at positions 330 to 745 of the family's 1478-position model. The record is from RNAcentral.